RNAcentral lists this ribosomal RNA (501 nucleotides) under uncultured bacterium. Its description in RNAcentral is "bacterial SSU rRNA". It matches the Rfam family "Bacterial small subunit ribosomal RNA", at positions 30 to 528 of the family's 1533-position model. The record is from RNAcentral.
AUUGAACGCUGGCGGAAUGCUUUACACAUGCAAGUCGAACGGUAGAGGGGGCAACCCCUUGAGAGUGGCGAACGGGUGAGUAAUAUAUCGGAACGUGCCCAGUCGUGGGGAUAACGUAGCGAAAGUUACGCUAAUACCGCAUACGAUCUAAGGAUGAAAGCGGGGGAUCGCAAGACCUCGCGCGAUUGGAGCGGCCGAUAUCAGAUUAGGUAGUUGGUGGGGUAAAGGCUCACCAAGCCAACGAUCUGUAGCUGGUCUGAGAGGACGACCAGCCACACUGGAACUGAGACACGGUCCAGACUCCUACGGGAGGCAGCAGUGGGGAAUUUUGGACAAUGGACGCAAGUCUGAUCCAGCCAUUCCGCGUGCAGGAUGAAGGCCCUCGGGUUGUAAACUGCUUUUGUACGGAACGAAAGGUUUCUCUUAAUACGAGGAGCUCAUGACGGUACCGUAAGAAUAAGCACCGGCUAACUACGUGCCAGCAGCCGCGGUAAAGUGACU